CAGGGAGUAGUUUAAUUAGAAUGUCAGCUUUGGGUGCUGGUGGUGGGGU
RNAcentral lists this transfer RNA (49 nucleotides) under Pusa hispida hispida. RNAcentral's name for it is "partial tRNA-Pro". The record is from RNAcentral. Lineage: Eukaryota; Metazoa; Chordata; Mammalia; Carnivora; Phocidae.